CCCUUAGAUGUUCUGGGCUGCACGCGUGCUACAAUGGCGCUUGCAACAAGUCUUGCCAACCCGAUAGGGUGAGCGGAUCUUUGAAGAGGCGUCGUGAUCGGGACAGUUGAUUGCAAUUAUUCGACUCGAACGAGGAAUUCCUUGUAAUCGCGAUUCAUCAUAUCGCGCUGAAUACGUCCCUGCCCUUUGUACACACCGCCCGUCGCACCUACCGAUUGGAUGGUCCGGUGAAGCCUCGGGAUUGUGGUUCUUGCCGCUUUAUUGUGGCGUGACCGCGAGAACUUGUCUAAACCUUAUCAUCUAGAGGAAGGUGAAGUCGUAACA
Molecule: ribosomal RNA, 324 nt
Filed under: uncultured eukaryote
Lineage: Eukaryota
Description: partial 18S ribosomal RNA
Rfam family: Eukaryotic small subunit ribosomal RNA
Source: RNAcentral